RNAcentral lists this ribosomal RNA (254 nucleotides) under uncultured bacterium. RNAcentral describes it as "partial 16S ribosomal RNA". It matches the Rfam family "Archaeal small subunit ribosomal RNA", at positions 474 to 727 of the family's 1478-position model. The record is from RNAcentral.
UACCAGCACCCCGAGUGGUCGGGACGUUUAUUGGGCCUAAAGCAUCCGUAGCCGGUUCUGCAAGUCUUCCGUUAAAUCCACCUGCUUAACAGAUGGGCUGCGGAAGAUACUAUAGAGCUAGGAGGCGGGAGAGGCAAGCGGUACUCGAUGGGUAGGGGUAAAAAUCCGUUGAUCCAUUGAAGACCACCAGUGGCGAAGGCGGCUUGCCAGAACGCGCUCGACGGUGAGGGAUGAAAGCUGGGGGAGCAAACCGG